AUCUAUAUAUGUAAUAUCACAAAACAUUUUUGGAUUUGAAAUUACAGAUUAAAGUGUGUUUCAUGGGUAUAUAGACAUAUUACACGACAUAGACACGAAUAUAUAGGAUUAUAAUGAUAUCUUGAGCACAAAGGAAAGACACGAGAGGAAUCUGCCAUGUAAUUCGUGGAGGGUUCCUAAAAUGAUAAGUCUGCAAAAAAAAUUUUGAUAAAAAUGUUCAGAAGACGACAAACCUAGUUUGUCAUUUAUGGAAAGUGAAUGGUGCGAGAAGCUUCAUGAAACUCAGGGGUAAGUUGCUACUUUUGCUUUUUAUUUUUCUAUUUCUGACAUUUUCACCAUUCCCUAGCAAAUUAAAGACAGGUUUAUGAAUUGUCUUUCUAUUUUUUUCUCUUUUAGUUCUUGCUAUGGCAAUAUUAAUCCAUUGGUUAUAAUAUUAUGAUAAUAAAUCUACACAUUAAACGA
Molecule: RNA transcript, 462 nt
Organism: Arabidopsis thaliana (thale cress)
Lineage: Eukaryota; Viridiplantae; Streptophyta; Magnoliopsida; Brassicales; Brassicaceae
Exons: 1
Source: RefSeq